Molecule: ribosomal RNA, 253 nt
Filed under: uncultured bacterium
Lineage: Bacteria
Description: partial 16S ribosomal RNA
Rfam family: Bacterial small subunit ribosomal RNA
Source: RNAcentral
UACGUAGGGUGCAAGCGUUGUCCGGAAUUAUUGGGCGUAAAGAGCUCGUAGGCGGUUUGUCGCGUCGGCUGUGAAAACCUGGGGCUCAACCCCGGGCCUGCAGCCGAUACGGGCAAACUAGAAUUCGGUAGGGGAGACUGGAAUUCCUGGUGUAGCGGUGGAAUGCGCAGAUAUCAGGAGGAACACCGGUGGCGAAGGCGGGUCUCUGGGCCGUUACUGACGCUGAGGAGCGAAAGCGUGGGGAGCGAACAGG